AAUUCCAAAAGAACUCCAAAACAUAUAGUCUUAACUAGAGUAAGGAUAAGGGUAUAGAAAACCACUUUUGUAAGGAUGGUUACCCUCCUCUCCUUAUCCUAUUAGAUAUCCAGAAACUCAACUACCCAUAUGUUGGGAUGCACUCAGACCAAAGUUUUCAUUUAUGCCUGGCCAGAUCGAAGACAAUAACCGAUAAUAACUUUGCUAUGAAACUGGCCACUUACGCGCCUGACAAACCAAAAAAAGCUUUUAUUUGGGAGGUGCUCCAAGAAACAGUUUCUCCUCUAGAUUCUUUGAUCGCCUGCUUCACAAGAACACAAGAAGAGAUAUGUGCACCAGCAGAUUGACCCAUGAGAUAAAUCCUGGAAAAUACAGACAGCAUGACAGAGUUGAAAAUAUCAAAACUUCGGGGAACGAUGUUAAACCUAUUUGGGUCACCACCAUGAUCAGCAAUGCUGCUGCAAAUAAAUGAGAUUCCCUGAGACACAUCUUCCACCAUAUCUCCUAUUGUUCCCUGUGGAAAGUUUCUGCAACCAAAGAGUCCAUAAG
Solanum pennellii is the source of this 549-nucleotide long non-coding RNA. RefSeq lists it as uncharacterized. The record is from RefSeq and is a predicted model, not a curated record. NCBI's taxonomy places the organism in Eukaryota, Viridiplantae, Streptophyta, Magnoliopsida, Solanales, Solanaceae. The transcript is spliced from 3 exons.